UGGGGAAUUUUGGACAAUGGGCGAAAGCCUGAUCCAGCAAUGCCGCGUGUGUGAAGAAGGCCUUCGGGUUGUAAAGCACUUUUGUCCGGAAAGAAAUCCUUGGCUCUAAUACAGUCGGGGGAUGACGGUACCGGAAGAAUAAGCACCGGCUAACUACGUGCCAGCAGCCGCGGUAAUACGUAGGGUGCAAGCGUUAAUCGGAAUUACUGGGCGUAAAGCGUGCGCAGGCGGUUUGCUAAGACCGAUGUGAAAUCCCCGGGCUCAACCUGAGAACUGCAUUGGUGACUGGCAGGCUAGAGUAUGGCAGAGGGGGGUAGAAUUCCACGUGUAGCAGUGAAAUGCGUAGAGAUGUGGAGGAAUACCGAUGGCGAAGGCAGCCCCCUGGGCCAAUACUGACGCUCAUGCACGAAAAGCGUGGGGAGCAAAACAGGAUUAGAUACCCUGGUAGUCCACGCCCUAAAACGAUGUCAACUAGUUGUUGGGGAUUCAUUUCCUUAGUAACGUAGCUAACGCGUGAAGUUGACCGCCUGGGGAGUACGGUCGCAAGAUUAAAAACUCAAAAGGAAUUGACGGGGUCAUAGCUGUUUCCU
RNAcentral lists this ribosomal RNA (590 nucleotides) under uncultured bacterium. RNAcentral's name for it is "partial 16S ribosomal RNA". It matches the Rfam family "Bacterial small subunit ribosomal RNA", at positions 355 to 1375 of the family's 1533-position model. The record is from RNAcentral.